CUGCAGCCCGAGUGGUGAUCGAUUUUAUUGAGCCUAAAGCGUCCGUAGCCGGACUAGUAAACCCUUGGGUAAAUUGGGCAGCUUAACUGUCCGAAUUCCGAGGGGACUGCUAGUCUUGGGACCGGGAGAGGUCAGAGGUACUCAAGGGGUAGGGGCUAAAUCCUGUAAUCCUUUGGGGACCACCAGUGGCGAAGGCGUCUGACUAGAACGGAUCCGACGGUAAGGGACGAAACCCUGGGGCGCGAACCGGAUUAGAGACCCGAGUAGUCC
Molecule: ribosomal RNA, 270 nt
Filed under: uncultured archaeon
Lineage: Archaea
Description: partial 16S ribosomal RNA
Rfam family: Archaeal small subunit ribosomal RNA
Source: RNAcentral